RNAcentral lists this small RNA (290 nucleotides) under Arabidopsis thaliana (thale cress). RNAcentral's name for it is "unknown gene (AT1G79075)". The record is from RNAcentral. Lineage: Eukaryota; Viridiplantae; Streptophyta; Magnoliopsida; Brassicales; Brassicaceae.
UUUUCUACAAAUGUGUGUGUGUGUAUAUAUGUUUAACGACGCCUUCAUUUCUCCGAUUCGAUUCAGAGCGACAAGAUGAGAGCCAAGUGGAAGAAGAAGCGUAUGAGGAGGCUUAAGAGGAAGAGACGAAAGAUGAGACAGCGUUCUAAGUAAAUUUGCCUUUGAAGACAAUGCGACUCUGUUUCUUGCUUCUCUCCCUUUCUCUCUUGCAAACAUUGUUCUUACUAUAAGCUUCCUUUUAUGUUUCAGACUUGUUUAAGAUUUUAAUCAAAAAGAAAGUUUCAGACUUU